This 403-nucleotide ribosomal RNA is filed under the name Verrucomicrobiota bacterium. Its description in RNAcentral is "Verrucomicrobia bacterium partial 16S ribosomal RNA". It matches the Rfam family "Bacterial small subunit ribosomal RNA", at positions 355 to 776 of the family's 1533-position model. The record is from RNAcentral. Lineage: Bacteria; Pseudomonadati; Verrucomicrobiota.
UGGGGAAUAUUGCACAAUGGGCGCAAGCCUGAUGCAGCAACGCCGCGUGAACGAUGAAGGUCUUCGGAUCGUAAAGUUCUGUUGCAGGGGAAGAUAAUGACGGUACCCUGUGAGGAAGCCCCGGCUAACUACGUGCCAGCAGCCGCGGUAAUACGUAGGGGGCUAGCGUUAUCCGGAUUUACUGGGCGUAAAGGGUGCGUAGGUAGUCUUUCAAGUCGGUGGUUAAAGGCUACGGCUCAACCGUAGUUAGCCUCCGAAACUAGAAGACUUGAGUGCAGGAGAGGAAAGUGGAAUUCCCAGUGUAGCGGUGAAAUGCGUAGAUAUUGGGAGGAACACCAGUAGCGAAGGCGGCUUUCUGGACUGCAACUGACACUGAGGCACGAAAGCGUGGGUAGCAAACAGG